Molecule: ribosomal RNA, 202 nt
Filed under: Kingella kingae
Lineage: Bacteria; Pseudomonadati; Pseudomonadota; Betaproteobacteria; Neisseriales; Neisseriaceae
Description: partial 23S ribosomal RNA
Rfam family: Bacterial large subunit ribosomal RNA
Source: RNAcentral
CAUUCAGUAGCGAGCUUAACCGAGUAGGGGAGGCGUAGGGAAACCGAGUCUUAAUAGGGCGACUAGUUGCUGGGUGUAGACCCGAAACCGAGUGAUCUAUCCAUGGCCAGGAUGAAGGUGCGGUAAAACGCAUUGGAGGUCCGAACCCACGCAUGUUGCAAAAUGCGGGGAUGAGCUGUGGAUCUGUCUCUUAUACACAUCU